AUUGAACGCUGGCGGCAUGCUUUACACAUGCAAGUCGAACGGCAGCGCGGGCUUCGGCCUGGCGGCGAGUGGCGAACGGGUGAGUAAUACAACGGAACGUGCACAGGAGGGGGGGAUAGCUCGGCGAAAGCGGGAUUAAUAACGAAUACGACCUGAGGGUGAAAGCGGGGGAACUUCGGACCUGGCGCUAUUGGAGAGGCCGAUGGCAGAUUAGCUAGUUGGUGGGGGAAAGGCCUACUAAGGCGAUGACCUGUAGCUGGUCUGAGAGGACGACCAGCCACACUGGGACUGAGACACGGCCCAGACUCCUACGGGAGGCAGCAGUGGGGAAUUUUGGACGAUGGGCGAAAGCCUGAUCCAGCAAUGCCGCGUGUGUGAUGAAGGCCUUCGGGUUGUAAAGCGCUUUUGGCGGGAACGAAAAGGACUGUGCCAAUACCACGGUUCGAUGACGGUACCCGCAGAAUAAGCACCGGCUAACUACGUG
This 484-nucleotide ribosomal RNA is filed under the name uncultured bacterium. RNAcentral's name for it is "partial 16S ribosomal RNA". It matches the Rfam family "Bacterial small subunit ribosomal RNA", at positions 29 to 507 of the family's 1533-position model. The record is from RNAcentral.